This is a long non-coding RNA of Drosophila sulfurigaster albostrigata, 654 nucleotides long. RefSeq lists it as uncharacterized. The transcript is spliced from 2 exons. NCBI's taxonomy places the organism in Eukaryota, Metazoa, Arthropoda, Insecta, Diptera, Drosophilidae. The record is from RefSeq and is a predicted model, not a curated record.
AGUAUAUGCAUACUUUUUAGCUAUAUGUCAUUGAGAAUCUGUACGUAUUAAGCUGAAAUUGUUUUACUUUUAAAUUUGAAACCGGUAACGAACUAAAUUUAUAUAACGAGAAAAAAACUGUUCAUGUUCAGAAAUUCAGCUAAGAUGACAACAAAAAUUACAGUUGAUAAUCUAAAAGAGGUUGACGUAACAAAUUCCUGUCGCAUAUGCAAAUGCCGUGGAAAUGACGAUUUACAAAAUCGAGUUAAACUGCGUCCAUUAUUCAAUGGCCGCCGUUUAACUCGUAUUAUAGCCAACACAAUACACAUAGAGAUUAAGGAUUUGCCAGGACUGCCCCGUUUUGUUUGCGAGCAUUGUUUAAAAUUGUUGAAAACUUUUUCAGUUUUUCAAGUGGAUUUUCGGCGUUCCGAAGAAGAUUUUAAAAUGGCUCUCGAAGCUCGCAAACAUUCUCACAUGGAUGCCUUGAUUGAAUUUUCUAAUUCUAUUGAAAUGGAAAAGCAAUUAGAUAAUGACCAGAAAAAUGCUGCUCUUGUAACCAAUUUCCUAAAGAAAAGCCACAAGAAGACCAACAAACCAAAAUCAACACUCGAUAAUGAUUAGUGUAUUUUACAAUGAAUUUAAAUAGUUCAAUACAUUUUAAGUUUAUAUGUGCAA